Molecule: ribosomal RNA, 482 nt
Filed under: uncultured bacterium
Lineage: Bacteria
Description: bacterial SSU rRNA
Rfam family: Bacterial small subunit ribosomal RNA
Source: RNAcentral
AUUGAACGCUGGCGGCGUGCCUAACACAUGCAAGUCGAGCGGUAACAGGUGUAGCAAUACAUGCUGACGAGCGGCGGACGGGUGAGUAACGCUUGGGAAUCUGCCUGUUAGUGGGGGACAACCCGGGGAAACUCGGGCUAAUACCGCAUACGCACUACGGUGGAAAGCCGGGGACCGCAAGGCCUGGCGCUAACAGAUGAGCCCAAGUCGGAUUAGCUAGUUGGUAGGGUAACGGCCACCAAGGCGACGAUCCGUAACUGGUCUGAGAGGACGACCAGUCACACCGGAACUGAGACACGGUCCGGACUCCUACGGGAGGCAGCAGUGGGGAAUAUUGGACAAUGGGCGAAAGCCUGAUCCAGCGACGCCGCGUGGGUGAAGAAGGCCUGCGGGUUGUAAAGCCCUUCGGUGGGGAAGAAAAGCCUCGAGUUAACACCUCGGGUCUUGACGUAACCAUAGAAGAAGCACCGGCUAACUCUGUG